Molecule: non-coding RNA, 12013 nt
Organism: Cyanistes caeruleus (blue tit)
Lineage: Eukaryota; Metazoa; Chordata; Aves; Passeriformes; Paridae
Source: RefSeq, a predicted model, not a curated record
UUUGGGAGUGGAAAAGAGGUUUCGGAUCAUCCCGUCCCACUGUAAAUUCAACACUGCCAGGUCCACGCGAAACCGCGUCCCCAAGUCCACACAUCUCUUAAAUACCUCUUGGGGUGGUGACUCCACCGCAGCCCUGGGCAGUUUGUUCCAGUGCUUGGCAAUCCUGCCAGUUUCCAGUCUGAAUUUCCACAGAGAAACUGUGAACAGCUGAGGCUGUUUGCUCUUGUCCUACCACUUAACAUUUUAGUCUUUUCUCCCGAGCAGUAAGAACAGCUCAGGUCACUCAAGUGCCCCUCCUCAGGCACUGGCCUUUUACACUCCAUAUUAGACAAAGAGCUGCAACAGUUUAGCACAACAAAUUAGUUGACUCCAUUAUCACUGCAUUAUUGGUGAAUGCUGUCAAUCAUAGAAUAGUUUGGGUUGGAAGGGACCCUUAAAAUCAUCUCGUUUCAGCCCUCCCCUGCUGUGGACAGGGACGCCUUCACCAGCCCAGGUUGCUCCAAGCCCCAUCCAUCCUGGCCUUGGACAUUUCUGGGGACGGGGCAGCCACAACCUCUCUGAGCCCUUAUUGUGAAAAACUUCAUGUUUCGUGACUGUGCAUUAUGUAUGUCUCCCUUAGGCAAUUUAAAGACGCUUAUUUUCCAAGCUGUGGAGUAUUUCUCCAAGGUGUCUGACCAGAACAACGAGACUGGCCAUGUUAUUGGCUAAGAUAAAGUCUCAACUGGCAUCUUUUAAGAACUGCUUGCUGGGGACCUACUUGAAGAGACUUGUGAUGUUCACCCUCUUCCAAGCUUGGAUCCUACCACCUCAUAAAGGAAGAUGUUGUAUAAUAUGAAGAAAUAAUGCUUUGCAACAAGUGCUUGAAGUGAAUUAAUACUGUGAAUUUCAAGGAGCAUUCUACACUUAUGUUUGUGAUGUAAAUGCAGCUGUGUCUGGAGCUCUGGACAAGAGGUGCUAUGAAGAAGGAGUUCUCCUCCUUCAGUGGCAGAACAGGGAGCUCUGGAUUGCUGCACCUAUGGUGACACUUCUUCGCAGGGCAUUCUUGGAGAGAGGAGGAGCCAGAGGAAGACACACUGCAGCUAUCCCAGAAUAAGUUUCAGAGAGAUUAAAAGAAAAAAAAAAAACCCAGAAUCAAAUCAAUGAAAAUGCAGGCAGAGCCAGGUGUGGUAAGGUACAAAGCUAUUAAGACAUGGCCUGCAAAUCCAGAUCACCACUGAAAUACCAUAAGAAACCUGGAUGGAGUGGUGAAGCUGGCACUGCAGAUUUACCCCACUGAAGUUCCUCAGAAGACCAGCGUGCUGGAAAAUGCAGUUCUGGGAGAAGGACUGCCAGCAUUACUAUGGAAACCCCCAAAAAUAAAGACUCCCAGCCUUGUGAGAGUACACCUGCAAGAGUAAGAGCUGCCUAUCAAAAGUGACUUCUUCAUUAUGGAUGUCACCUAAGGACAUUUUGUGUGGUCAGUAUGACUUUUUCUCUCAAAAUAUAUUGAAAUUAUAUUCUUAGCAUUAAUACAAUUUGGUAUCUUGCCAAGGACUAGUAACAAAUGUCUGUUGCUAUCCAGUAGUGCUCUCUUUAAUACACUAUCUCAGUUUCAAGAGAAAACCAGCUCUUGACAAAAUGUAGAUUUGAGUUUGGAAGCCCUUAAAUAUCAAGAUGAAAUAAGCACUCAUCUCAGUGAGAUAAACAUGUAAAAUGAAGAUCUAAUAAGCUGUUUUAAUAUAAAUCAUUCCACUGGCUUCAGAAGGACUUGGAUCAGAGUUACAAAGAGAAUUGCAAGAAUUCAUCUGCUGCUUCCUAGUAGAUAGGUGGAGCAUAUUUACUAGUGAGCAGUUGGCUGCUAUCAAAAUGGAUCUGUUUAGACUUUUCCACAUUGCUAAUUUUAUAUUUUUUGUUGUUACAGAAUUAAACGGCUUGAUCUGAAAUUUUACAAUUGAAUUAGUUCUGUGCAGUUUUCAAAUUAACAACAAAAAAAUUUUAGUUCAUUACAAUGGCUUAGCAUGUAUUUUUUCAAAGGAAAAAGGUAGCUAUGGUGGUGGGACUGAAUUCAGAUAACCUGGCAGUAUCUAUGAAUAAUAUUUCAAGAGAAUGUUUUUGAAAUAACAAGCUUUCAAACCAACAAGAUAUUUCCAUUCUUUUGGUGCCUACUUUCUGUUUUUAACAGAAUUUUCUAUUCUACUUGCCAAAUUGUUAAAAUUUACAGUAUAUGAAGGAUAUUGAUUUGUGUACUUUUCUGCAGUGUAGUGGCAAUUUGACAAGUCUGCAUCUGUAAUGAGCACCACUGGAAAAACAGAGAUUUUUUUGGUUUUUUUUCUAUAUUAAUGACAUUCUAAAACCAGUGAAAAACUGAACUUUAAAUAUUGCUAGAAAUACACCUUUGUGUUAUUACCAAUAGCACAGGAAAAUCACCUACAUAUUUUUUUGCUGCUGUUUGAACAUACUGAAAAACCUAACUUAAAUGCACUCAGGUGUCACCAAGAUCUGCUUUUCACUGCUGUUUCAAUGAGCAAAGUCCUUGCAAGAACUGUGUUUCAGCAUAGACAAACCUCAGAAAUGCUAUCUGUAACAUCUCCAUGGUUUGCCUAAUACCAAAUGAUCCUGUUCAAGUCAAUAGACACCUUGGGAAAUUAGAUGCUAUUCCAGGUGAAGAGGAGCAUCAGACCUCAGCUCUCUGGGAGCAAUGAAGUACUAAAGGAAAGAGCAAAUUGAGUCCUCAAACCAAGUGUUUGCAGUACAGAGCAGAGUCUAAAGAGGGAGGGAUUCAUUCUAGCAGAACAUCUAGCUGUACAUGACAAAUUAGUGUCAUGACUAUUGAUGGCACUGUCUCUGAAUAUAAUCUCAUCAGAAUAUUAUAUUUUUGCAGGACUGGAGCUUCUUGUUGUACAAAUGAAAAAUUUUCCCAAAGAAAUCUGGUGUUUGGAAGCAGAAAUUGUUCCAAAAGUGCACAGGUACUAUCAACAAGAGUACUGAAGUAAUCUUUGCUGUAUUUACCAGCUUUAGGUACUGCACUAUGAAAUUUCUGGAUGUUUGCAGUCAAUAAGGUUUCUGUGUCACAAAAGAAAUGUUUCCCCAACAAAUGCUGAUUCAAAUGUUAUACAUUCCCACUGCUUCAAUUUUUGCUCUAGGCUAAGUAGAUGAUUAUUAGUGUUGCUACAAGCUGUCAUAUUACUUCUGCUGCCCACCAAGGAGGUGGCUGUGUUGCAGCAUUAGGCAGGGAGUGCUCCUGUGUGCAUUUGAGCCCAAAAGGACCAUUUCAAAAGGUUGUUGCCUAUGUUCAUUGAUACCCUCUAAGGGUGAUUGUUGUUGCAGAUGGAAGCAGAAAUUUCCCUGAGAUGGUGGGUAGGAGUGGCAAUCAGAUGAAACUGGGAAAGGGUUGUAAGUGCUUUAAAUUUUUCUGUGGCAAAAAGUUGAAACUGCGGAUAGGUUAAAGAAUGAUGGGUUACCAUGCAGGGUUAAUUUUUCAGGAAGGAAGUGGAGAAAUUAUAAUGAAAUUAAUUGUAGUGGAAUUUGUAAACUGGCAUAGAAUGGAGGUCAGUCAUUGUAAAAUUAUUCCUCUUCCUUUGGCUGGAUGCUCUGUGCAAGCUGUUAUUCCCCCUCCUACAGUGUUAAAAUCACUUCUUUCAUUUGUGUGUGCUUUCUGGAACUGAUGAGAUUAAAACAGCAUAAUACCACUUCAACUCAAUAGGGAAUGAUUGCAACUGAAAAGCAUUUAUUUAUUUGAUGUGAAUCAUUCUGUAGCACAUUUCAGUUCCAUACUGGAGAGGAGGAUUUUUGUCUUUAAAAUGUUUACUUAAAUAGGAGAAGCAAGAAGAUGUCCCUGUCCCUGUCCCUUUACUUUGCUAAUGCAGGCAACACACACCUCACUUCAUAGUGCUGAUGUAUUGCAAGGGGGCAUCUAGGAUAGUUUCAAUUAUUCUACUGUUCACUGUUACCACAUCAAGCCUUUGCAGUUGUAUAUGAGGAUGCUGGUCAGUGUAAAAAAGAAAUCAUAAAGCAAUAUAAGUUUCCUAGAAAAGGUUACAAACAAAAAAAAAAAAAAAAAAAAGUGGAUUUUAUUGUAAUGCCACUGUCUUUUGGCUCUACCUUGCUAAUAUUUUUUAAAAUGAGCUAGACAUUAAAUAGCCACAGUGUUGUCUAAAAAUAAAGUUGAAGAUUUAUGGGGAAAAUUUUGUCCUGAUUAAAAGGACAGAUGAAUUGCGAAGAGAAUGACUUAAUAUUAUGGUAACCAUAAUAUUUGACUUUUAAUUGUACUAAAAAACACUUUAAUGUCAGCUGUCUUACGCUAAUGCAUAGCUUUACUUUCUUUUUUUUUUUUCAACUUAGUUAACAGUUCAGAUCAGAUCCUUUUAUUCCAAUUUACAUACAUGCCAGUCAUUGCAGGAUGGGACUAACACUUGUAUUGUAGCAAGAGCAAAACAGAGUUUGUAGAAAAAGAACAUAAACAAAAAAAUCCUUUUUUAGGCCAGUUAAUAUAAUUAGAAAGAACAGGCAGGCUUUUGGUCUCAAAGUCCUUUCUCUGGGUCUGAAAAGGAGCAGCAGAAUCUAAGACAGAGACAAAAUUAGGCCCAAUUCCUCUUAGUUUAAUCUAAUUAUGUUAGUCAGGACACUUGAGAGAUAAGGGUGCUUUGUAUGUGUAGAGCAAAGCUCCCUUCCACGUUACUGCAAUCAUACUCUGCUGGGAAAAGCUGUGUUGCAAGGAGAGCUGCACAAGCCAUACAUCAGUUUCCAGAGACCUCCUGGGGUCCCUAAUUGCUGGCAUGCACCCAGCCACACUGGCAGCACACACAGUCCUCAGGCCAGGCACUGGAAUACAGCCUUUGGAGUGGCUCAGUACAAGUGAACAUCACGAUCCGAGGUUUGCAUGUAGAGCUGCCCUGGACCUGUGGCUUCCUCAGCCCUGUCUGACUGCAGAGGAGCCCGAGUCCUGCGCAGAGACUGAGAGCAGCUCAGUGCCUGGGACUUCAGGAGCCUCUCUGGAGUGUCCCCCUGAGCUGCUGUGUGGACAAGAUUCCAAACAGGCAAGUGAAUAGAGUAGCAAUAUUCCUUGGCUUCCUUGGCCAUCUGGAUGUACUGCUAUCACCAGGCUCAUUUUCAGCUUGAUGAAUGUAAUGAUUUUGGCAAUGUCUGUGGCUGCUACCAAUCAUUCUUUUAACAAUUUCCAUUACCCUGGCCAGUUAUUUUCAGGGUCUUGGCCUUUUCUAUCACAGCUAUGUGUUUUUAUGUUUCAAGAUCUCUGAAGAGCAACUUGUACAAGUAUGUCCUUUUGUGUCUACUCAUCUUGGAGCCAUUUAUAUACAGCAAAUGCCUUUUGAAUGGGCUUGUGACAAAGUGACUCAGGCAAUGCUGCUCUAAAGGACCUUCCCACAGACAGUGAGUAAAAAGGAGACAAGCAUCAGCUCUGCAUUUUGCUGGACAGGGAAAACACACUAAGCAUACAGUCAGGUGGAAAGUAAUGUGGGUUUCAUAAUGGUGUCAGUAGCAGACCCCAGCUGUUCCCUGUGAUACAGCACACGUAGGGACUCUCCAGACAGGGCUGGUUUCAGCUCCAUUUUACUCUACAGUUUUGUCAAUCUUCAGGCUUUUUCAGCCCCAACAGGCAUCUCCUUGUGUAUUUUAAGCUGAAAGAAAAAUCAGCAAACAAAAACUGAGUCUACACAGGCACCCAGAAACAAAGCUGUCAUUAUAGGACAUGCAACUGCUUUUUCUGAAGCAUUGCUAAGUCUCAUUCUCUCAGAUCCGUACACACUGUCCUGCUCACGUCUUAGACCACUGGGGGAAAAGUUCCCAAACGUGCUUGAAAUACUAAAGUAGUCCCAGGAGGAAAAACCUAAACAAACACUAUCCCCCUCACUGAACACACCCCAUCCUUCCCUAACCUAGGCAGCCACUGACACUCUUAUCACUUUCUGCCAGCAACCCUGACUGUUCUAUUCUUCCCAAGGAAGGCUCACACUGCUUGUACAGUUUUUUGUCCACCCCUGUGCAUUGUAUGCCUCACUUACUGAGCCAGCUGUUCUGCUGAUUCUUAGAAGGGCUUUCACAGAAAGGAAUUCAGUGUAAAAAUGCUGCUGCCCUGAGACCAGGUGGUGACUAGCGGUGACUGGUCAUUAGGUCAGCCCCGGUGACUUGUGGUGACUGGCACCAUUCGUUACAAAAGGGGCCAAACAGCCAGACAGACACUUUGGCAGAAUGGCUUCUGAGUGACAACUUUCCUGUUAUCAGUCUUUACCAGCAUAUGUACAUAUCACAGUAAAGUAGACCAGGCAUCUCUAAUUACCAUUGCUAACUCACAAAAGUAGGGUUGGCUAGUCUUAGCUUCUUAACUAAGAAGAAGUUAUAAUAAAAAACAAAAACUGCACUUGGUGAAAAAUAUCAGUUACCACCUGAAAUAAAGACAUUGCAGAUGUCAUUUCCUUGAAUAUAUGGUUAAUAGUUUCAAAUCUUAGAAAGCAUAUGCCAGCUCCUCCCCAUCAUACAGCUGUACCAACUCCACAGUUUUUGGAUGAAGUUCAAAUCUUGUUUUUAGUAGGAUGAGAACUUUUUCCAGCACUGUAGUUAAGCAACAAGGAUAAUUCCAGUAAUAAGAUAGAAAAAUGAAAGUACCUUAGCAAGCAGGUAAAGAUCUAAAGCCUUGGGAAAGGCUGUGUAAGCUUUCAGCACAAAUAGAACCAUAGCAAAUUAAGCAGGUUUGCUAAAAUUGUACCUGAGAUGGCCACUCCUAGAACAAGGUCUUGAGCCACAACCUAACUUCUCCUUUCCAGGCAGCCCCUGCAGACGACCUGAAUCCAGACUGUCUAAAAGUCCCAUGUUCUCACUUGAGGCCACAUCAACCCUUACCAAAAAGGUCACAGAACAUCUUGUUUGGCUGGCCUCAAACUUUAUGGUCUCAUCACAAGGACAGAUGGGAUGUGGGGAGCUGACAGGGACAGGUAAUGCUCAGGGCUUGCCAGCACUGCAGGAUAAGGGUCAGAUGCUGGGAGUGAACUGUAGUUUCUCUCCAAGUGUACUGAUUAUUUCAGCAGUCCCAAAUGUGAUCCUGGGACCUGAUCAGGAGUUUCAUUCAAAGCAGUAAAUUUGUUCUUUAGGCUGUACUCAACUCACGGAGCUUCUUUAUCCGGUGGAUCAAGGAAAGCCCCCAAAAUUACACAUUAGGUAUGCACAGUUUCAUAGCAAAUGCAAAUACACACUUUAAAUGUCAUAUGAAUGCAGUGGAUUGUAUUCACAGCAUGCUGGUGGCCUACUUAAAUACUAGCAUUUUCUUCUCUUCAAUGCAUAUGUAAUUUAUAAUAGCCAGCUAACAUCAGGAAGCUCUUCCUGCUCCUAGGCUGAAAUGCUUGUAUAUUAUACUUAUAUACUGUGCUACCCCCAAAGACUAAUAGUAAAACAAAAUAGGGAAAUUCACUCCCUAGAGAGAAGACUCCUCUAGGCUUUAAGAACACAUAACUUCCAAUUAAAGCUUUACAGAAGAGCUGAUAUGUGCACUGUGACUAAGGCUCAAGACUACCCCAAUGUAUUUCUGUCUGAAGAAGUGCCUAUGGCACUGCUGUAGUAUCACAAACAUGUACCAGUAAAUCCACCUCUCAAUGCAGUUCAUCUCUCUUGGGAAUGAAGUUCAUCUUUCACGAUACAGCAUGGUCUUCUAAACAGAAGGAGAAAGAAAAAAACAUUUAUCAUUCUUGUGCCAGGCAGAGUUCAACUUGAAAGAAACUGGAGGAAAUGUGUAUCAUUCAUCUAAGGAACAAAUCCACACUACAGAUUUGUCUGAGAGACAAGUGAAUGUGUUCCAAAAAAGCUAUCCAUUUCAGAAUGGGAGGCUUGAAUCCAGUCCAACCAGAAAAUGCAUGCUGAGUAGCAUCCAUUUAUUCAGAGUAGUAAUGGUUUCUUCUAACAGCACAUUGCCUUGAUCAUUGUGUUAAACAUAGUAUAUAUAACCAACAAAAAUUCCCAUCUUUGCAAAUGCAGGCUAUCUGCCAGUUCCACAAAGGGAUUUUUUUUUCUAAAUAGCUACUGCAUAAGGAGUGUUGCCUGCAGAGCAGGUUUUGUGUGCUCAGCCUACUGCGAUCAUCAGGUCUGAGAGCACAGUAAAUGGAAUUCACAAGCCUUUCCAAGUCACCUCCUGUGUAAAGCCCUGAACAGACAGUCCCAGAAGUGAAGUAAGGAACAACUUCCCUCUCCGCCCCUUUGGGCAGCUCACAUACGUGCUUUUAGCAAUACCUAAAACAAGAAAAACACCUACAGCCACUUCACUGGGACUGGCGGAAACAGAACGGAAAUGAGAAACUGAUUAAGUGGAGAGCCAGCUUCACACGCAGAGAAACUUCCAACUUUCGUUCCUAACGACUUUUUAAAAACUGCUUCAGUUUUGCUUGUAUUCCCUUUGAAAAAAAUAAAAAUCUUGGCCCAUGAGCUCUCAGUGCCUACACAGAUGAAAGCUGUGAGAGGCCUUAAAUGACUUCAGCAGGAAACUACUGGGAAGGGGAGGGGUCUGUUUUCUGACAGUCCCAUUACACAUUUCUAGGAAAAAAUCUUUUCAAGUUCUGUGGACGAAAACGAAACAGAAUUACAGCACUGCCUCUCUCUUGGAGACAAUCAAAACAACACUUUUCCUGCUUCCAUGCUGGAGUGCUGCAAAGUAAUUCCCUUUUUUUAUCUGUCCUCCUCUCUUUCUCAGGAUCUUGGUGUCAGGAAUAGCACCUCAGAUUGAAGAAAUUGUUAGAAUCAGUUGCAUUCUGAUCUGCUCAAAUAGGAACUGUGUUUCAGGAAUGAUUUUCCUUGGACAUCAGUGAUUCAUGGAAACUCCAGAUCACUUCAGUAAAAUGCAGUCUCACAAGGAAGAACCUGCAACGUCUCAGUCUCAGAAAUGGGAUCCAAACCCAUUGAGUAAGUGCAUCUUCCAUAAGUGAAACCUGUCCAUCUUCUAAAAUCAUCUCAUGGGAAGAGAUGUCCACAGUAACACUAAACCACUGUAACAGCAAGCCAGGUAAAACUAUGGCUAUGGUGAUACUUUUGGGAAAAGCUUUUAAAAAGUACCUAAACUCUUUUUUCAUAAUGUUUCUGUCAGACAGAUUUACUAGAUUUUAGAAGUCUUUGUUUUACUCAAGCUUCUUUCUCAUCACCCCUGUACAUUUGCAAAGUGUAAUUAUCAUCCAGGGAAAGUCUUCUACAGACCACCAUAUUUUCAAAGGAAAAGGGAAAAAUACAGCAAAGGCUUCAAAGAUGUGAGUGAAUUAUUUCAUUCACAAGUGCAGCAUGUGCUCUCUCUUCUGUAAUGACACAGUACUGAAAACAAGAGGUAAUUAAUGCAAUUCCUUUGCCAAAUGAGUGGGAUCUUAUAAAGAAUUGGCACAUAAUCCUGAUUUGAGCUUUCUUGUUUUAAACAAAACCAAACCUAAUACAGAACAAUAUAAUGUACUAGCACGGUCCUUCACCAUAUUUUCCUUUUUUCCCCAAUAUGAGUGUCUGCAAAGUGCUGGGCCUGCAAUCAAAGGACACUCAGUGUCCAAACCAGCACUGUUGAUGCAGCCAGACAUUUCUGUGUACUACAGUACAGUCAUGAAAGUGAACCAAAGAAGAACAUUUGGUCUUUUGUUGUCUUACAUACCAAGACAGAAAAACAUAGCUCUUCCUCUGUUCUACCCAAUGAACAGAUGUAGGUUUAAUCACAUACAAAAGAAAAUGCUCACAAGUUUCAGACUUUCUCAUUUCUCAAGCAUUACUUUCUCAAAGAAAGUAAUUUUCAUCUAAUUAUCUUGAAACUGUCCAUAAAAAGAAGAUAGGUAAGGAAUUGGAUAAAUUCACCAAAUAGGGUUUCCUGUGGAGUUAUUUUCUUCAGCUGGAGAGAAACCUAAGGUAAUUUUCAUAAACAAAAAACUCAUGGCAAGAUAAGAAAAGAAGCCUCAGGGUCCAAUAUAGGAAAGUUGCAGGAGCUUCUUCAAUAAAUAGCUAUUACAGAGCAGUAUAAAUUCAGAUGCCUCCUCAAAGCUGCGGAUCAACCCAAUACACAAGGUUAGCAAAUAGCAGAGUUUGGUAAAAUAGAAGCAGAAAAUGCCACACAAUAGCCCAAAAGGACACCUCAAGGGCUGUAACUUUAAUCUUGCCACUAACCUACUAUCCAGCUACUCCACCUCCCCCCCAACUCAAAUCACCUCAUAAAUACCUAAGGCAGAUUAGCCUUCCUUCUGAGGAGCAUUAGAGCUCUGACAGACUGUGUGAAAUGCAGAUCCAGGGAACCCAGAUCUGGGGCAACUCUUCAAGACACGUUUUGAGAGGAUGUAGGUGGCAUGGAGGAUGGAAUUUGCAUCCAGAGAAAACAGGUAUGUUUCUAAUGCCAUCUGGCCCUUGGUUACCAGGCUCUAUCCUCAUGUACGUGGCUUCUACAAGGAUAACAUGCACAGAGUACAAAGAGAUCUUGCUUCCACAUCUGGGUGUUGCACCAGGAGCAGAGGGUGGAGGAACAGAGAUGAAAUCUGUGAUUCUGAAAGUAAGAUGCACAAUGCUGGCAUCUGGCAGCCAUAAAAGACACAUGAGGUAGAGCUGGGCCUCUGGCCUGUUGCCAGCCAGGGCGCCUGCAAGGAUAACAAGAGCUUGUAACCCCUGCAGAAGGGUCAGGAUGGCAGGAACACAAUUAUGGCCCAUGCUGCUAUUUCAACUACAAAUUCCCUAGCUUCCUAGAGUUUCAGUAAGAGUCUACCCAACAUCCUAAAUUAAUUUUAAAACCACAGGCAUUCAAAGUUCAUUGCAAAUGACCGGGCCCACGAAACAUCCAGACAUACACCUCCCACAGAAAAUCAGUGGGAGUUAAGCCCCUAAAUACUCCUCUACUUCUGUCCAAAUAUUUCCCCUUUUUCCCCCUUGAAAACCCCAAGUUGUGUCAUCCCUUUGAGCCUCUCUUGCUCGCAGCUUUUUCAGUCCUAUAUUUCACUGUAAUUUCUUGAGAGUAUCACAACCUGCAGUGCCCAGGCAGCAGCACCUGUGUGCUGUGUGGAGUUUCAGAGAUAGUGCUGCUGUCUCUGGAGCGUGUAGUGCCCACUUCAACAAGUGAAACCCACAUUCAACAAGUGCUGCCAGCUCCAUUCACAGGCUGUAGGGACAAACUCCUCCAAAGCCAGUCACAAGACUAGAUUACAGAUCCUGAAUGAAUCCAUGUCUAAACUCAGUAUUAAGGAAAUUUAAUGCAGGCACUUUCACUUACAGACGUUCUUGCAAUGCCUAGGAUCUAUCUGAGUUUCUAAAAAGCGAGUUUUUAAUUAUGAGCAGAGAAACAAUAGCUCAUUUCAGCAUGAGAAAGAAUACAACCACUAUUUUUCCAUGCUGUGUAAUUUAAAAAUAGGUCAACUCAUUAACUUUGAAGCUUUCAAAAAUACUAAAACUGAAAUACAAGGCUCAAUUUAUUUUUGUUUUUUAAGCCAGACCCAGAGAUUGAAGAGUUUUAGACCAAUGACUGCUUUAAAAUGAUGCAAGAGGAUAAAGUUUUUGAACUACAAAUCUAAUAUAGCCAGAACAGAUUGAUUUAAUAGUAAAUUUUUAAACAGAAAGUAAAUUUUUAAACAUUGACUAGAUUUGAAGCAUUUAAAUAAGACCAGAGCAUUAACUGCACGCCAAUUCAGAAAUGCUGCAGGGCCUGUAAUUUGUCACUCUGCACAUAUAGAUCAGGAUGACUUUUCUCACUUUUCUCCAUCGUGUGCAUGUUCAGAAUGCAAACAGAGGCCAAAGUGCACCUGAACAGCCAAUUGAGAAACUUCCCAUAUGUAAUGUGAACCAGACAGAAUCAAUACAUACUGCAAAAAAUUUACUAGGAAAGGGCAAUUUCUUACUCUGUACUUAAAAACAUAACCCUGGGGUUGAGAAUUACUCUCUUGACAUUUUGUAAGUCAACAACAACAGAAUUAUGAUUAGUGGGACCUUGACUUGCAGUGCUUCCCAAUCACCUUGUGCAGGACCUGGGGAACACCUGGUGUGCAUUCAGUAUGAAACAGAAGUUCAUCAGUGCCAGUGCCCAACAGGCUUCAGGGCUGUG